Molecule: ribosomal RNA, 253 nt
Filed under: uncultured bacterium
Lineage: Bacteria
Description: partial 16S ribosomal RNA
Rfam family: Bacterial small subunit ribosomal RNA
Source: RNAcentral
UACGUAGGGUGCAAGCGUUGUUCGGAAUUACUGGGCGUAAAGGGCUCGUAGGCGGCCAAUUAAGUCACACGUGAAAUCCCCAGGCUUAACUUGGGAACUGCGUCUGAUACUGGGAGGCUUGAGUGCGGGAGAGGGAUGUGGAAUUCCAGGUGUAGCGGUGAAAUGCGUAGAUAUCUGGAGGAACACCGGUGGCGAAGGCGGCAUCCUGGACCGACACUGACGCUGAGGCGCGAAAGCUAGGGGAGCAAACGGG